RNAcentral lists this long non-coding RNA (11557 nucleotides) under Nicotiana tabacum (common tobacco). RNAcentral's name for it is "long non-coding RNA (NTAB_LNC018485)". Lineage: Eukaryota; Viridiplantae; Streptophyta; Magnoliopsida; Solanales; Solanaceae. The record is from RNAcentral.
ACAAACCCAGAAUUUAAAUUUUAAGAUUUACUAUAGACUUUUAUUAAGUACCCUAGAUGAAUAAUUAUUUAUAGUGGCUGAGAAUUUAGACAUGAGAAAAAUUUAAACUACACAGCCAAAACGAUUCAGAAUAAUUCUUUGACUAUGCUUCAAAGCAUUCCUAGCAAUUACUAAUAUCUAACUUAAAUCUUCAAAAUUAAAUACUUAAAUCGAACAAAUCAGAUGGAGAAGAAUCUAGUAGCCAACAUUUCAUUGUAAGUCAAAAAGGAAAUACAAAUUUGAGAUAUGUACCUAAUUUCUCAUGAACUGACUAAGAUUUAACAAAUAAAGGCUAGGUGAAGGAAGGUUGGAACUCAGCAAAGUAGAAAAUCCACAAAUACAACAUAUACAACAGCAUCACAGUGACGCCAGACUCAACUUUCAUCCAAAAAUAGCUCGAAUUGCAACCGGUUUGGAGAUUUCUCAUCCGUAUUCACUUGUAGCAGUGAGCAAAUAAAGGAUGACGAGUGAUUUUCCGGCAAAAAUAAGAACAAUACCGGUCAGAUCUUGUUCGAUAUGAAACACCAUUAGUGAACAAAAUGGGAGCUGCAAUUUUGGCGACUUCCAACAAGUUUCAUUUCAACAUAAAGAGGGGUGAAAGAGAUGGAAGAACAUGGGUGUUCUUUGGUGUGAAGAACAGGGGUCUGCUUUGCGUUCUUCGCAUGGGAUUUUGAGAAAUGAAAGAAGAAUAAGAAAAGAGCUCUUGUGCGCUGUUUCUUUGGUUUUUUGGGAGGGAUCCGGUCUUCUCGUUCUUCUCUUGCGAUUUUUGAUGAAGAAGAAGAAGAUAAGGAGCGUCGUUUGCCUGAAAAAGAAAGGGGUUUGAUUUCUAUCGCUUAUGUCUAGGAAAGGAAUGGGAAUUUAGGUGUUUUAAGGAGUGAUAUGGGCCAGGGACGGAUUGGGCUUCUAGAGGGGAUGGGCUAGGACAAGUUUGGAGAGGGAAUGGGUUUUCUGAAACCAAAUUUAGCCCAAUUUCCAAAUGAAAACAAAACCUGCCCAUUUUUCUUUUGUUGCUUCUUUUCCUUUUCUUUAAUUUAAAACCUAGCUAAAUUAAUUAAGUUCUAAAUUUAAUCCUAAAUUAUAAAAUUAAACUAAUCAUCUAUUUGUAUUAUUUUCCAAUUAAUUAAUCCUAAAUUAAUAAAGAGAAAAUUACUAUUCCAAUAUUAAAAGCUAAAAAUGUAAAAAUUAACAAUAUUUUUGCUUAAUAAAAUUAAUUCCUACAUGCAAACUGAGCCUAAGAUGGCAUGAAAUUAAACCGUGACAAUUGUUAUCAUUUUUCUAUGAUUUUAAAAUACUAAAAUGCAUGAAAUGCAACUAAAUAAAGAAAAACUCCUAAAAAUCAAGUAAAAUAUUUUUUUUUGUUCUAUUUUUAGGAGUUAUUUUCAUGUAGGGCAAAAAUUGGGUGCUCACAGCUGCCCCUCUUUACUCGGAAACAUGAAGAGUUUUUGGGCAAAGAUAAAAUGAGCAACUACGAGCAAUUUUUACCCGUUUGAAACUCCAUUUGGAAGCAUUUUAAAAACGUUUGACCUAACAUUGCUUCGAAGGUUGCCUACAUAUCCUUGGCUAUAAAAGAAUCAGGUCGGUGUAGUUCUUGAAGUUUUGGUAGCUGGGACUACCGAGAAGCUGUGAUUUCAUUGUUGUUGUUGCUUGUUUCUGCUUGCUGAGCUCCUUAUUACACCAAAAUGAAAAAUGAAAAACUAAACUAGCUAAGCCUAUCAGCUAUGAGUUACAAGAUUCCUAUCUAUAAAUCAUCUGUAGUUUGAUCUUGAAUCUUGGAUGGUUCUUCCUGCAAACUUUGAUCUAAAUCUUGAUGCUCGUUAGCUGCAACCGCUAGUUCAUUCUUCUUCAGCAUUUCAGAUCAAGGCAGGACAUGCGAAGCUUGUGACUUCAAUCAAAUUUUGAGUAGUCAGCAUCUUUUCUCCGUUUCUGCACCUUGAGUUCAACUUCUUUUCUUCUUUCUUCUUUUAACUGGGUCGAGACUUCUUCUUUUGGUCAUCUCAAACCUUGUGCCUCACGGUGAAAACCUGUUUAGGCACCUAAUCAAACAAAUGAAAGAAAUUUUUCUGCCCCAGUUUUCACUAGGAAAAUUUCGUGAAUUAUUGUAACAAAAUCUAAAUUAUUUCUUUAUUGAAAUCAAUAAAAUCAGGAUUGUGUAUCCUUGGGAAAAAGAGAUUAGGGAGUGAAGCCAUAUAUCUAUACUAAAAAUCAACUAGGGAGUGGAGACCCUAUGUUGGAAAAGUGACUAGGGAGUGGAGACCUUAUAUCUAAAAUAUAGCCAACUAGGGAGUGGAGACCCUAUGUUGGAAAAGCAACCAAGGAGUGGAGACCAUAUGUCUAAAAUAAACUCGACUAGGGAAUGGAAACCCUAUGUUGGAAAGGCGACUAGGGAGUGAAGACACUAUGUCUAAAACAAACUCAACUAGGCAGUGGAGACCCUAUGUUGGGAAGGCGACUAGGGAGUGGAGACCCUAUGUCUAAAAAUAAACUCAACUAGGCAGUGGAGACCAUAUGUUGGAAAGGCGACUAUGGUGUGGAGACCCUAUGUCUAAANUAAACUCAACUAGGGAGUGGAGACCCUAUGUUGGAAAGGCGACUAGGGAGUGGAGACCCUAUGUCUAAAAUAACAUCAACUAGGAAGUGGAGACCCUAUGUUGGAAAGCCGACUAGGGAGUGGAGACCCUAUGUCUAAAAUAAAAUCAACUAGGGAGUGGAGACCCUAUGUUGGAAAGGCGACUAAGGAGUGGAGACCAUAUGUCUAAAAUAAACUCAACUAGGGGGUGGAGACCCUAUGUUGGAAAAAUGACUAGGGAGUAGAGACCCUAUGUCUAAAAAUAAAAUCAACUAGGGAGUGGAGACCCUAUGUUGGAAAAGCAGACUAGGGAGUGGAGACCUUAUGUCUAAAAUAAAAUCAACUAGGGAGCGGAGACCUAUGUUGGAGAAGCAGACUAGGGAGUGGAGACCCAUAUGUUUGAAAAGCGACUAGAGAAUGGAGACCCUAUGUCUAAAAUAAAAUCAACUAGGGAGUGGAGACCAUAUGUUGGAAAAAAAUGUAACUAGAGAUUGGGGACCCUAGGCUAUCAUGUUUUUGAAUUUUCUUCUUCUUUUAUUUUUGUUUUAAGAAAAUGAGUCAAAAUGUAGGAAAGAAUUCGGAGGAGACUUCCCUUUUGGAUUGAUUAUUGCUUCAAAGCUGUUUCCAGCCAUUGCGCAAUUUCUCUUUGGUUGCACCUGCUUCUUGCAAGGUUGCUUUGGAUUGCACCUGUUUCAUGUUUUCAAAUAAAGAACAAUUGUUAGUUUGAAAUGGUGGUUGGUUUUGUUGCCUUGAUUGUUUCAAUCACUUGAUCUUUGCCUGGCUUCUUUGAUUAGGAUCUCAAAUGCAACUGCUCGUUUACUGGGGACCGAUUUCAUUUCAGGCCCUAAGAACCUCUGGUUUUUCUAGAUUUUGCCAUGACGGUUGGUCGGUGGAACUCAACCUUUUCGACUUUAUUUUGCCUUCGUAGUCCUUUCCCUUUUGACUUCCUUUCUUUUUUAUUUUUUUUUCUCUCUUUUUUUUCUCUUAUUUUUUUUUAAAAACAAAUUUUGGAGCAUUAGGGACUUUUGGCUCCUCAAACUUUGUCGCAACGGCUAGUCACGUGGGACUUAACUUUUUCCAACUUUAUUUUGCCUUCGUAGGCCUUUCAUUUCUGGCUUCUUUCUUCCAACUUUAAAUUAAGAUCAUUUGGGUACCUUGGCUUUUCAAACUUUUGCCGAGAUGGUUGACCACGUGAAACUCAACUUUUUCAGCUUCAUUUGCCUUUAUAGGCACUUCAAUUUUAUUUUCUCCUUCUAAGAGUUUUGAUUUCGAUGUAUCGGCUGUCAUGGCCAGUCGAGGCCGACUUACCCCUGACGAGGCUGGGUGCCUUUUGCAUAUUAGCUUGUAUCAAAUGUGAACCCUAUAAAUCAGUCUUACCAUCCUUUAUUUGUCUUAGUUUCAGAACAGAGUUAGACCUAAUGGGAUUCAAAGAAAACAAAAAAUGGAAUGGAGAAUGGGUUUAAAACAAGAAGUGUCCCGUUCGGGGAAAGGAAAGAAGUACUUAUCUGGAGUACAUGCGGACUUCAAUGAACAUGACAUGCCUUUUGGAAUAGAUGUCUGAUCUGUGUAAACCGUCCGACUCUCAUAAAUUCAUCACACCUUUUGCCUCAAAAUCGAGAAACCUAGCUAGGACUUUGUCGAUACCGAUGGCUGUGAGAAUCCUCUUUUCGAUCAAGGGCGCCCUUUGCGGGUUUUCAUGAGCUGACCUCUCUCAUUUCUCUACUCACCAUCGCCUUAUAGUGCUCUUUGCAAGUUUUCACUAACAAGACUCUAUCAUUUUGAUUUCUUUGCUUAUUGUCGCCUUACGAUGCCUGUGUGGGUUUUCACCAAUAAGACUAUCUCAUUUUGACUGUAUCGGAUCUGAGUAACUGUAUUCUUUGGUCCUUGAACAUUCUCAUCGAUUGAUCGGAAGGACUUGAACAAGGUUUGGGUAAAAAAGGAUUUGGAUUGAGUUACAACUUUGGAACCUUUUGGGGGGGGGGGGAUCAUCGCCGAACCAUUAUAACAUCUGCCCCAGUUUCACUUUUUGGGGGGAUUUGAAUUUUUAUUUUGGUGUGACUGAACCUCAGAGAGGCUGGCUACGUAUCCUUUCAGAAUCAAGUCGAACGUAGUUCAGGAAACUUUGUUUUUUGAUUUUCUUUUAUUUUUCUGUUUUGUUUUGUUUUCUCUUUCUUUUUCCUGUCCUUUUUCAUUCAUUUUCUUUGUUUUUUUCUUCCACCCUUUUUUCCCUCUCUUUUUAUUAUUAUUUUUUCAAAACCUUUUUUGUAAUAGCACUUUCAGGUUCCAAAGAGGGUAAUCAAAGAAGAGUAACCGACUCAAAGGGUUUGCAAAGGGUUGAUAGUGUUUGGGUAGCGAAAAUGAAAGUCAUCGUCAUCCCAACCGGAGAAUAUUAAUAUUAUAUGGAGGAUCAAACAUAGUACCUUUUGGCUGCAUUUGCAUUGACAGUUGUUACAGGGACAUUUCCUUCGAUGUGUCCCAAGUACAAUGCACUCUUUUAGCAAUACUCUUGUUGCAAUAUACGGACCUUUCCAAACUGAAGCCAAUUUUCCUUUAGUUGUUCCAACUCUUUGUUUUAUUUCCUUUAACUUAUCUUCAUUGAAAUUUGAUUUUUGAUUCAUUAUUUCGAAGUCUGAUAGUGUUUUAGUAUCUGGGUAUGAAGUCCGAAAGCAUGUCAUGUUAUUGAAAUAGGCAUUUAACAGAACUAAAAAGAGAAUAAGGAAAAUGACAAGAUUAAGAAANNNNNNNNNNNNNNNNNNNNNNNNNNNNNNNNNNNNNNNNNNNNNNNNNNNNNNNNNNNNNNNNNNNNNNNNNNNNNNNNNNNNNNNNNNNNNNNNNNNNNNNNNNNNNNNNNNNNNNNNNNNNNNNNNNNNNNNNNNNNNNNNNNNNNNNNNNNNNNNNNNNNNNNNNNNNNNNNNNNNNNNNNNNNNNNNNNNNNNNNNNNNNNNNNNNNNNNNNNNNNNNNNNNNNNNNNNNNNNNNNNNNNNNNNNNNNNNNNNNNNNNNNNNNNNNNNNNNNNNNNNNNNNNNNNNNNNNNNNNNNNNNNNNNNNNNNNNNNNNNNNNNNNNNNNNNNNNNNNNNNNNNNNAAAACAUCCGGAUCACACCUUGAGAUAAUCCGGGCGCAGAAAGGAUAGCAAGACUGGAUACCGAGACUCCCGUUUGAUAGGUAACUUUCAGGCUUGGCGAUCGUCUUUAGGCUUUUCUUAUGUUUCGGCAAUGGCUGCAACGGCCUUCAGUGCCAGAUCAAAUUUCUUAGCUUCUCAAAUCAUUCCGACUAUUGGCCCGAUGUUGUGGGCAGGCAACAGAUUGUCAUUCACAUCAGGAGCUUCUUCAUCCCGAAAAAUGAUUAUUUCAGUUUCAAUCAAAUCUUCGACUGCCCUUUUGAGGGUCCAACAGUCCUCGGUACUGUGUCCCACUACUCCAGAGUGGUAUUCACAUCUAGCAUCAGCUCGGUGCGAGGGGGACUCGGGGUUUGGCCGGUUCGGGGCCAUUGGCUGCAAUAGUUCUAGCCUGAUAAGCUUUUGAAACAAGCUUGAAUACGAUUCACCAAUAGGGGUGAACUGACUCUUUCUGAAAGGUUCUCUAGGCUGAGGAUUGUAUUAGGGAUCAUUUAGUUGAGGAUUAUAUGGAGCUUGGUAAGGAUGGGCAUUUCUGGGAGGUGGAACUCGAUUUUGUGUAUAAUGUUAUGGCUGGGUGUAAGAUUGCGCGCUCAUCACCGUAUACAGAGGCGGUGCCACGACAUAAGCAUCAUCUUGAAGGGGAUAAUAGUGUGGUGGGACCAUAGGAGGCACAUAUGACUGGUGAAUGACCUGCGGGUCCCCCUCGAGCUUGAAACCAUUAUGGCUCCCUCCUCACUCCCAUUGUUGUUCAUCAAACCCUCCGAACCAUUUUGAACAUCUGGUGAUGUGGCUUUAAAAGCAGCAUGACCCAAGAUUUGGCCCAUUUUUAGAACGUUUUCAACCAUUUCCGCAAUUUUGAUAGCCUCAGCGAACGACUUACCCACAACAGACAUCAUGCUCCGGAAGUAGUCAGCCUCUUGGGCCUGCAGAAAAACCAUGACCAUUUUAGUUUCAUCCAUUGGAGGUUUUACCCUGGCAACUUGCUCACGCCAUUUGACAGUAUAUUCGCGGAAGUUUUCCGCGGUUUUCUUUUUCAAAUUGGACAAAGAGUUUCUAUCGGGAGCGAUAUCCACAUUAUAUUAGAACUGGCGGACAAAAUCUCAGGCCAUAUCGUCUCACACAUGCCAAUUGGUAGUUUCUUGAUCCAUAUACCACUCAGAAGCGAUUCAAGUAAGGCUUUCACCAAAAUAGGCAAUUAGCAGCUCCUCUUUUCCACCAGCACCCCUUAACUGGUUACAGUAUCAUUUCAGAUGAGCGACCGGGUCUCCGUGCCUAUUGCACUUUUCAAAUUUUGGCAUCUUGAAGCCAGCUGGCAAGUGGAUUUGAAGCCAGCUGGUAAGUGGACAUGGGGAAACAUACAGAGGUCAGAGUAUGCGACACUCUUUUGGCCAUUCAGACCUUGCAUGUUUUUCAGGCGUUGUUCCAGGCUCUUCAUCUUCCGAGACAUUUCCUCUUGCUCAGGAUUUUUAAUGAACUUUUCUUUCUCCACUGAGAGAUCACAUUGUGGAGGUUGAGUGAAUGAGUUUGGGGUCACAUAUGUCAUUUAUGAUUGAAGUUGUGGACCCUCAAAGGUGAACAUUGGAGGCUCAACAUACGGCCGUGGUAAAGUUAGUUGUGCUCUGGUGCAGACUGGUGCUGUAGAGAACAAUAUUGGAGGUGCCCAGGAAACUGGCGCCUGGGGGAGAACCACAGAAGGCAUUCCGGGAUCAUCGAACGGGAAGGUGCCCGCAUGGGAUAAGCGAGUUGGGCACAGGGGCGUUGGUAACCUCGCUUGACCUGGGGAUCAACUCAGGGAACCCAAGAAUUGCAGCGGUUCCCUACCAUUAGACCAUGACGCCGCAUGAAUCAGAUCUUGCGUAGUUCGGGAAGAUUGGGAAUGGAGUAAAUAAACUAACUCUUUUUUUUUUUUUACUUUUUGUAAAACUUAGACCAUGAAAGCUUUAAGGCAAAAGAAAAUCAUUUUUGAUUUUUUUCGAUUUUUUUUCUUUUCUUUUCUUUUGCUUUUCUUUUUGAAAUUUUGAAAAGAAAUACUUUAAAAGAAGAAAGAAAAUAUUUUUUUGGAUUUUUGAUUUUGAUUUUGAUUUUAUUAUUUUAUUUUUGAAAGAAAGACUUCUAAAAAUCCCUUUUCUUUUGAUUUAAUUUUUGGGAAUUUCAAAAGUAAAAAAGAAAAUAUUUUUGUUAGAAUUUUCAUUUUUUUUUAUAUUUUUCUAAAGGAGAAAGAAAAUAUUUUCAGAUUUUUGAUGUUGCCUCUUAAUUUUCAAAAGAAGGACUCUUUUAAGAAAAAGGUAUUUUGAAUUUCUGAUUUUUUAUUUUUAUUUACAAAAGUACUUCUAAAGAAAAGCAAAAAUAUUUUUGGACUUCAAUUUUUCAAAUUUUUUUUUGACAUUUACGAAAGAAAUACUUUUAAAGAAAGAAAAGAAUAUUUCCCCCUUUUUUUGGUUUUUUUUUAAUUUUUUGGAAAAAUACUUCAAAAUAAAGGAAACCUGUAUUUCGGAUUUUUAUUCUUUUUCAUUUUUCUUUUUAUUUCUUUUUUCCCAUAUGAAAGACUUCAGAAAGAAGGAAACUAUUUUUGAUUUUAAAAACAUCUUUUUUUUGAAUUUUCUAUGGAAAGAUUUCUAAAGAAGGAACUAAAAGAAAAUAUUUUUGGAUUUUUGAAAAUUGGGGCCGAAACCGAUGAGGUUUGCCGACGUAUCUUACAUCCGGUGAAAAUCAGACCCAUGUAGUUCUGUCAAUUUUGAUGGAACAAGGGAAACAUGGCACUUGAAAAUUUUGGCUCAUUUUGAAAUGACAUUUUUUCAGAAUUUCGGAAGAGUUUCAGGAUUUUCAGAAUUUUGGAAGAGUUUCAGGAUUUUCUAAAGAAGGAACUAAAAGAUGUGCAUUUAAAAACAUCUUUUUUUUUCUUUCCCUAUUCUAGAAGUCGGUCAACAUGCUAACUGAAUCGAACAAAUUCGCAAGUAGCACAUAAGAUGCAUCAGGAUGGUCUUUUAAUCUUUGGGUACACCUGUCCUAGACAGACCCAACCCCUGUGUUGAGUCCCCAAAGUCAAAUGCACGUGAUGCAAACAAGCGUUCCUACUAGGGAUCCAGUAUGAAGUUAUGUUAUUCUAGGUUUAAAAACCUGGGUGUAUUGUUCUAGACCUGGCUUACCCGAGUGGAUAGCUUGAGCAGGGGGGAGCAGCGUUCCGGGAAUACAGAAGCUUCACCUGCUUUGCUACUUGUCCGAACCUCGUUCUAAAAGUGGGAUAUGACUCUAACAGAAAAAAAAGUCACACGAAGUGCACACUUCCCAGAUGAUUGAGAAGACUCAGAGAGAAGAGGGUUUCGUAACAAUUUAUAUACAGUUCAAACAAUAUCAAAGCGGUAAAAAACGACAUUUAGCACAUUAGGCUUAAACAUGUAGAAAUUAGAUAAUAAAUAAAGCCAAGUAUAACAAUUAUUCUAAGCUCGAAUUCUAAACCUUGAACUAGAAGUUCUGGAUUCUUUUACCCAGUAGAGUCGCCAGAGUUGUCACAGCUCCUUUCACACCCCGAGAAGGGUCUAUGGGAGUUUUUUCAAUUAAAGUGACAUUAUAUGAAAUGGGAUUAUUUUAUUUAUUUUCAGAGUCGCCACUUGGAAUAGUUUAUUUGGUGUCCUAAGUCACCAAUUUAUUUUAAAAUCCCAAUCGAAGAAAUUUCGAAUUUAUUUAAAAGUCUGCGAACCUGAAAUUCUAAGUAAGAAAUUUUGUUAACCGAGAGAAGGUGUUAGGCAUUCCUCGGUUCCGUGGUUCUAGCACGGUAGCUUAAACUAUUAAUAUUGGCCUAUUAUUUGAUUUAUUACAUGUUUUAAACCUAUUGUGUAUUUUUGACUUUUAUAAUCGCCUUUUAUUUAUUUUAAAACCGCUUUUAGGAUUUAUGGAAUUAUUUUCUGAACAAGUUACGAUUGUCAUACACUUGUUUGAUUUGGAACACGCCACGAACUACGCAACAUGAAAUGCACCCGCGAUUCACGACAUGCUUAUUUUAUUAUUAAUGUUCGAAGUUGUUACGAUCGGGUCACAUAAAAUGCACACCCGAUUUUGGGGAUUAGGUAUCAUAACAAUGUCACGGGAACCGUACCCAUAGUCACGGUGAUUUUAUUAUAAACAUGCCUAAACCAAACUACGAAUGUUUCAAGUGUUUUAUACACUAGUUUUGUAUUUAUGUGAGGGCCAUGGAUUACAGGAUUCAUUUGUAGAUGACAUGCCUCAAUAUUUUUUAAAAGAUUUGUACUCAAUUAAGGCAAACUAUGGAUGUUCAUAUGAUUCGCUAGCUUAAUAUUGACAGUUGUGAAUGGGAUAAAUAGUUAUGUCCAAACAUUCUACUUCAAACACACAAAUAGUUCUCAAUGACCAUAGUCUCUAACUUGCGUCAAUUCUUUUGAUAACAAUCCUAAGCACACAGUACUUGAGGCAAAUUAAACCCCCACUACACAAAAAAUUCUCUGUAUGGAACACUUAAGGGAAAUUUUUUCCUUCUCAUUCAUUAUUAAAGAAUUGACGUAAAUAAGAGUAUAUAAAAUUCCAAUAGAGAGGAAAUCUGAUUAAAACACACAGGAAAUGGCAAAUAUCAACAAAUUACUGCCUAGAGUUCUUCGUAUUAAGUAAAGAGUACGUAAAUCACACAUAACAUACUAAAUUAGUGCAUUUCCUACGAGAUAGAAUUCUUCUAACUGUAGCCUUUUAUUUUCACCACUGUUGCCUAGAAGUUUGGUAAAUUAAAAUGCUUCUAAAUAUUCGGUAGCAACAAGCAACAACAUUUAUAUCAAGUUCCGCUAGCAUCUUCACAAUGAUAAUCCUAAUGUUCAUAAAAACAGUCAAACAGACCCAAAAUAUAAAUUUUGAGAUUUACUCUAGACUUUUGUUAAAUAUCCUAGAUGAAUAAUUAUUUAUAGCGGCUAAAAAUUUAGACAUGAGAAAAAUUUCAACUACACAGCCAAAACAAUUCAGAAUAAUUCUUUGACUAAGCUUCAAGGCAUUCCUAGCAAUCACUAAUAUCCAACUUAAAUCUUCAAAUUUAAAUACUUAAACCGAACAAAUCAGAUGGAGAAGAAUCUAGUAGCCAACAUUUCAUUGUAAGUCAAAAAGGAAAUACAAUUUGAGAUAUGUACCUAAUUUCUCAUGAACUGACUAAGAUUUAACAAACAAAGGCCAGGUGAAGGAAGGUUGGAACUCAGCAAAGCAGAAAAUCCACAAAUACAGCAUAUACAGCAGCAACACAGUGAUGCCGGACUCAACUUUCGUCCAAAAAUAGCUCGAAUCAUAACUGGUUUGGAGCUUUCUUCAUCUGCAUUCACUUGUAGCAGUGAGCAAAUAAUGGAUGAUGAGUGAUUUUCCGACAAAAAUAAGAACAAAACCGGUCAGAUCUUGUUAGAUAUGAAACACCAUUAGUGAACAAAAUGGGAGCUGCAAUUUCGCCGACUUCCAAUGAGUUUCAUUGCCAUAGAAAUAGGGGUGAAAGAAAUAUAAGAAUAGGGGUGUUCUUUGGUGUGAAGAAUAGGGGUCUGGUUUGCGUUCUUCGCAUAGAAUUUUGAGAAAUGAAAGAAGAAGAAGAAAAGAGCUCUUGAGCGCCGUUUCUAUGGUUUUUUGGGAGGGAUCCGGUCUUCUAGUUCUUCUCUUGUAAUUUUUGAUGAAGAAAAAGAAGAUAAGGAGCGCCAUUUGUUUGAAAGAGAAAGGGAUCUGAUUUCUAUCGCUUAGGUGUAGGAAAGGACUGGGGAAUGAUUUAGGUGUUCUAAGGAGUGAUAUGGGUCAAGGACGGAUUGGGCUUCUAGAGGGGAUGAGCUAGGACAAGUUUGGAGAGGGAAUGGGUUUUCUAAAACCAAA